Molecule: long non-coding RNA, 1404 nt
Organism: Dreissena polymorpha
Lineage: Eukaryota; Metazoa; Mollusca; Bivalvia; Myida; Dreissenidae
Exons: 4
Source: RefSeq, a predicted model, not a curated record
CGCCCACGAAGGGAGAUAACUUAGUCUGUUGUAAAAAAUGGCGGUGUUAAAAUUUCCCUCUUUUAUUGACGCCGACAAUUACAUCAAAGAGGAAGAAAUCAAAACGUGCGAACGUUUUGUUUUUUUGGCAAGACGUGGGUCACCGAAGUCUACAGAUAAUGGAUGCAUUUUUACAUCUGCUGUGUUUGCCUUUGGAUGGCAGUGUUCUCCAUGUAGCAAGUACAGUAUGGACUGCCAUAUUUUUGGGACAAGACCCUGAUAAACACAGGUAUUUAAGCGAGGUGCAGAUACUGGAGUAUGAUCAUCUGGUUGGAGCAGUCAAUGAGGGUGGAUUCCACUGGUCUCUUAUAGUUGUGCAACCGAAAGACAACAAAGUAUUGUACAUAAAUCCGAUGGGGGAGCAGAAUGUUUCCCAGCAACAGAUCCUGCAACAAUGGAUGUAAAUGUGUACAUUAUUUAAUUAAACAGAUUAGAUACAUUUAACUUCAUAUACUAAAUUAGAAAAUAUCACAGACUGUAAAAUGCUAUGUAAAUAUUUAACUUGCAAAUAAUCAUCAUUUAUAUAAAAAGUUUACACUGAUCAGAUUGUGAAGGUUUUGGUGUCAUGUCCGUUACCGAAAUUAGACUUCCUGACAAUAUGUAGCAUAAGCGUAUUUCCUUCUAAGUUUGAUUGACACCUUUCAGUGGUUUAUGGGAAUAAUUGCUACCAAGAACUUUUUUAUGUCCCCAACCACUAUAGUGGGGGACAUAUUGUUUCUUCCCUGUCUGUAGGUCUAUCUGUUUGUAGGUUUGUUUGUUGGUUUGAGUGUAUGUUUGCGUCAAACUUUAAAAUUUGCCAUAACUUUUGCAAUAUUGAAGAUAGCAGCUUGAUAUUUUGCAUGCAUGCAUGUGUAUCUCAUGGAGAUGCACAUUUUGAGUGGUGAAAGGUCAAAGUCAUCCUUUAAGGUCAAAGGUCAAAUAUAUAGCUUCAAAGCGGCGCAAUAGGGGACAUAGUGUUUCUAAAAACACUUUUCUUGUUUAACCAUGUGACCCUGACAUUAACCUAACUAAAAAUCCUGAUAAUUUACAUUUAGGCUUAGUACUAGCACUUAGCAAGUUUCAUUAAUAUUCCUGCAUUGGUUUGUUUACGAGAAGAGGCGUGGACAAGGGAAACAUUUCUUUACUUUAUGCUUUUGUUUGCUCUUGUUUGAAGUACAAGAAAUCCAUGUUUUAACCUUCUAACCUUGACCCAAAUAAAAAUCCUCACAGUAUGCAGAGCAAGCUAGCUAUUAAUAAAUCUGACCAAGUAACAUUAAAAUCCUUCAUUGAUUUAUGCAAAGAAGCACUGGCAAGGUAAUUAUGUUUUUAACCUUGUGAACUUGACUUAAUUGACAAAUCUGCCAAUAUGCAAACCAAUGCUUGGUA